UCCUACGGGGGGCAGCAGUGGGGAAUAUUGGACAAUGGGGGCAACCCUGAUCCAGCCAUGCCGCGUGUGUGAAGAAGGCCCUCGGGUUGUAAAGCACUUUCAGUGAGGAAGAACGCCUGGUGGUUAAUACCCAUCAGGAAAGACAUCACUCACAGAAGAAGCACCGGCUAACUCCGUGCCAGCAGCCGCGGUAAUACGGAGGGUGCGAGCGUUAAUCGGAAUUACUGGGCGUAAAGCGCGCGUAGGUGGCUUGAUAAGCCGGUUGUGAAAGCCCCGGGCUCAACCUGGGAACGGCAUCCGGAACUGUCAAGCUAGAGUGCAGGAGAGGAAGGUAGAAUUCCCGGUGUAGCGGUGAAAUGCGUAGAGAUCGGGAGGAAUACCAGUGGCGAAGGCGGCCUUCUGGACUGACACUGACACUGAGGUGCGAAAGCGUGGGUAGCAAACAGGAUUAGAUACCCCUGUAGUCCA
This 468-nucleotide ribosomal RNA is filed under the name uncultured Halomonas sp. RNAcentral describes it as "bacterial SSU rRNA". It matches the Rfam family "Bacterial small subunit ribosomal RNA", at positions 337 to 797 of the family's 1533-position model. The record is from RNAcentral. Lineage: Bacteria; Pseudomonadati; Pseudomonadota; Gammaproteobacteria; Oceanospirillales; Halomonadaceae.